Molecule: ribosomal RNA, 451 nt
Filed under: uncultured Anaerolineaceae bacterium
Lineage: Bacteria; Bacillati; Chloroflexota; Anaerolineae; Anaerolineales; Anaerolineaceae
Description: bacterial SSU rRNA
Rfam family: Bacterial small subunit ribosomal RNA
Source: RNAcentral
ACCCGCACAAGCAGCGGAGCGUGUGGUUUAAUUCGAUGCUACACGAAGAACCUUACCAGGGUUUGACAUGCAAGUGGUAGGAAACUGAAAGGGGACCGACCCUUCGGGGAGCUUGCACAGGUGCUGCAUGGCUGUCGUCAGCUCGUGUCGUGAGAUGUUCGGUUAAGUCCGCUAACGAGCGCAACCCUCACUGUGUGUUAUAUGUGUCACACGGGACUGCCGGUUUUAAGCCGGAGGAAGGUGGGGAUGACGUCAAGUCAGCAUGGCCUUUAUAUCCUGGGCUACACACACGCUACAAUGGUCGGUACAAUAGGUUGCCAAGCCGCGAGGCGGAGCCAAUCCAUAAAAGCCGGCCUCAGUUCAGAUUGUAGGCUGCAACUCGCCUGCAUGAAGAUGGAGUUGCUAGUAACCGCAGGUCAGCAAUACUGCGGUGAAUACGUUCCCGGGUCUU